RNAcentral lists this ribosomal RNA (494 nucleotides) under Ozestheria sp. CDHB. RNAcentral's name for it is "partial large subunit ribosomal RNA". It matches the Rfam family "Bacterial large subunit ribosomal RNA", at positions 1847 to 2605 of the family's 2925-position model. Lineage: Eukaryota; Metazoa; Arthropoda; Branchiopoda; Diplostraca; Cyzicidae. The record is from RNAcentral.
UUAAGGUAAAGCCUGCCCAUGUUUUAAUCAAUGGCCGCGGUAUCCUGACCGUGCGAAGGUAGCAUAAUCAUUAGUCUCUUAAUUAGAGGCUGGUAUGAACGGCUAAACGAGAAAAGUACUGUCUCUAGUAGAAUAAUUGAAAUUCAUUAUUAAGUGAAAAAGCUUAAAUUUUUCUGAAGGACGAUAAGACCCUAUAGAGCUUUAUUUCCUUACCAUUAAAAUUUACAAGAUGUUAUAAAUUUAAUUUAAAAGAAAUUUUGUUGGGGCGACAGAAAGAAAAUAUCUAACUCUUCAUUAUUUAAACAGCAAUUGCUGAUUAACAAGAUCCUCAAAGUGAGAUCAAAAGAACAAGUUACCUUAGGGAUAACAGCGUAAUCCUUUCUGAGAGUUCUCAUCGACGAAAGGGUUUGCGACCUCGAUGUUGGAUUAAGAAAUUACCCAGGUGCAGCCGCUUAGGUAAAAGGUCUGUUCGACCUUUAAAUUCUUACAUGAUC